ACGAACGCUGGCGGCGUGCCUAAUACAUGCAAGUCGAGCGAACAGACGAGGAGCUUGCUCCUCUGACGUUAGCGGCGGACGGGUGAGUAACACGUGGAUAACCUACCUAUAAGACUGGGAUAACUUCGGGAAACCGGAGCUAAUACCGGAUAAUAUAUUGAACCUCAUGGUUCAAUAGUGAAAGACGGUUUUGCUGUCACUUAUAGAUGGAUCCGCGCCGCAUUAGCUAGUUGGUAAGGUAACGGCUUACCAAGGCAACGAUGCGUAGCCGACCUGAGAGGGUGAUCGGCCACACUGGAACGGAGACACGGUCCAGACUCCUACGGGAGGCAGCAGUAGGGAAUCUUCCGCAAUGGGCGAAAGCCUGACGGAGCAACGCCGCGUGAGUGAUGAAGGUCUUCGGAUCGUAAAACUCUGUUAUUAGGGAAGAACAAAUGUGUAAGUAACUAUGCACGUCUUGACGGUACCUAAUCAGAAAGCCACGGCUAACUACGUG
RNAcentral lists this ribosomal RNA (496 nucleotides) under uncultured bacterium. RNAcentral's name for it is "partial 16S ribosomal RNA". It matches the Rfam family "Bacterial small subunit ribosomal RNA", at positions 29 to 507 of the family's 1533-position model. The record is from RNAcentral.